CCUACGGGAGGCAGCAGUGGGGAAUCUUCCGCAAUGGGCGAAAGCCUGACGGAGCAACGCCGCGUGAUCGAAUGAAGGCCUGCGGGUUGUAAAGAUCUGUUGACAGGGACGAAUAAGCCAUGCGAAUAGUUUGGUGUAUGACGGUACCUGUUUAGAAAGCUACGGCUAACUACGUGCCAGCAGCCGCGGUAAUACGUAGGGAGCAAGCGUUUUCCGGAUUUAUUGGGUUUAAAGGGUGCGCAGGCGGGCUGUUAAGCCGGCGGUAAAAAUUCAGGGCUCAACCCUGUCGAGCCGUCGGAACUGGCAGCCUUGAGUGGGCGAGAAGUAUGCGGAAUGCGUGGUGUAGCGGUGAAAUGCAUAGAUAUCACGCAGAACGCCGAUUGCGAAGGCAGCAUACCGGCGCCCGACUGACGCUGAGGCACGAAAGCGUGGGGAUCGAACAGGAUUAGAUACCCCAGUAGUC
This 463-nucleotide ribosomal RNA is filed under the name uncultured bacterium. RNAcentral's name for it is "partial 16S ribosomal RNA". It matches the Rfam family "Bacterial small subunit ribosomal RNA", at positions 338 to 795 of the family's 1533-position model. The record is from RNAcentral.